Small nuclear RNA from Ochotona curzoniae (black-lipped pika), 188 nucleotides. RefSeq annotates it as U2 spliceosomal RNA. The record is from RefSeq and is a predicted model, not a curated record. Lineage: Eukaryota; Metazoa; Chordata; Mammalia; Lagomorpha; Ochotonidae. The transcript has a single exon.
AUCGCUUCUCGGCCUUUUGGCUAAGAUCAAGUGUAGUAUCUGUUCUUAUCAGUUAGACUUACCCAUGUAGUAGUGAUGGAACAUGUGUACCCCAUAUUAGAAUGAUGGUCACAGCCUAGUUGCCCUGCUUCCAAUCCAGCUUUCUGCUACUGUACCUUGCAAGCCAGCAGGUGAUGGCUGAAUUUUGG